Non-coding RNA from Hydra vulgaris (swiftwater hydra), 493 nucleotides. The record is from RefSeq and is a predicted model, not a curated record. NCBI's taxonomy places the organism in Eukaryota, Metazoa, Cnidaria, Hydrozoa, Anthoathecata, Hydridae.
GCGUUGCGAGUGCAAAAAAUUUUAGGAUAUAUAUAGUAUAUAUAUUCAAAAUUUUUUGAGAAUUUUUAUUUAAGUUGACCUAAUAAUACAAACAAACAAAAAGUCAUUGAAUUUUAGGAAUUUUAAAACCAUUGGGAAUUCCGCAGAUUACAUGGUACCAUUGAGCUAGCUAACCUUAUUAUGUAUCAAUAUUUAAUGUAUCUAUAAAAAUAAUAAUGUUUUAUUGUAGGUUGAUGACUAAUGGUUUACAAUCAAAGUUUAACAUGGCUGGUGGCAAGGGUAAAGAGAAAUUUGAAGGCACAAACAUUUGUGAGGUUGUUGUUGAGUGCGUCAUGUUAAGUAAAGCAACUGCUACAGUUGCUGAAGUCAGAAAAAAUAUCAUGAAUAUAUUGAAACAUGCACCCGAUAGAUCAAAAUGGUGGUGGUCGGGGCAUUAAUGACAACUCAGAUAUAUAGUUAUAUGUUAACAAAAAAUGUAUAUAUAUAAUGUUAA